CCUACGGGAGGCAGCAGUGGGGAAUAUUGCACAAUGGCCGGAACGCUGAUGCAGCGAAGCCGCGUGAGUGAAGAAGUAUUUCAGUAUGUAAAGCUCUAUCAGCCGGGAAGAAAAUGACGGUACCUGACUAAGAAGCACCGGCUAACUACGGGGCAGCAGCCGCGGGAAUACGGAGGGAGCAGGUGUUAUCCGGAUUUACUGGGGGUAAAGGGAGCGUAGACGGCCAGACAAGUCAGAAGUGAAAGCCCAGGGCCUAAACCUGGGACUGUUUUUGAAACUGCCGGGCUUGAGUGCAGGAGAGGUAAGCGGAAUGCCCAGUGUAGCGGUGAAAUGCGUAGAUAUUAGGCGGAACACCAGUGGCGAAGGCGGCUUACUGGACUGGAACUGACGUUGAGGCACGAAAGCGUGGGGAGCAAACAGGAUUAGAUACCCUAGUAGUC
This 440-nucleotide ribosomal RNA is filed under the name uncultured bacterium. RNAcentral's name for it is "partial 16S ribosomal RNA". It matches the Rfam family "Bacterial small subunit ribosomal RNA", at positions 338 to 795 of the family's 1533-position model. The record is from RNAcentral.